AUACGUAGGGAGCGAGCGUUGUCCGGAAUUACUGGGUGUAAAGGGUGCGUAGGCGGGGAUGCAAGUCAGAUGUGAAAUGUAUGGGCUCAACCCAUGAACUGCAUUUGAAACUGCAACUCUUGAGUGAGGUAGAGGUAAGCGGAAUUCCUAGUGUAGCGGUGAAAUGCGUAGAUAUUAGGAGGAACAUCGGUGGCGAAGGCGGCUUACUGGGCCUUUACUGACGCUGAGGUACGAAAGCGUGGGGAGCAAACAGGAUUAGAUACCCUGGUAGUCCACGCUGUAAACGAUGAUGACUAGGUGUGGGGGGACUGAACCCUUCCGUGCCGCAGUUAACACAAUAAGUCAUCCACCUGGGGAGUACGACCGCAAGGUUGAAACUCAAAGGAAUUGACGGGG
RNAcentral lists this ribosomal RNA (396 nucleotides) under uncultured bacterium. RNAcentral's name for it is "partial 16S ribosomal RNA". It matches the Rfam family "Bacterial small subunit ribosomal RNA", at positions 523 to 918 of the family's 1533-position model. The record is from RNAcentral.